GACGAGCGCUGGCGGCGUGCUUAACACAUGCAAGUCGAACGGAAAGGCCCGGCUUUUGUUGGGUGCUCGAGUGGCGAAAGGGUGAGUAACACGAGAGUAACCUGACCUUGACUUUGUGAUAACUUCAGGAAACUGGGGAUAAUACAGCAUAGGAGCUCCUGCUGCACGGUGUGGGUUGGAAAGUUUCGGCGGUUGUGGCUGUAAUCGCGGCUUAUCAGCUUGUUUGUCGGGUAGUGGCUUACAAAGGCUGUGACGGGUAGCCGGCCUGAGAGGCUGAACGGGGACAUUGGGACGGAGAUAAGGCGCAGAAGCAGACGGGAGGCAGCAGUGGGGAGUAUGACACUGUGGCAGGGAGGCUGAUGCGGCGACGCCGCGAUCGGGAUGACGGCCUUCGUGUGAUAAACCGCUUUCGACUUGGAUGAAGCGGGAGUGACGGUAAUGGGUAAAGAAGCACCGGCUAACUACGUG
RNAcentral lists this ribosomal RNA (468 nucleotides) under uncultured bacterium. RNAcentral's name for it is "partial 16S ribosomal RNA". It matches the Rfam family "Bacterial small subunit ribosomal RNA", at positions 28 to 507 of the family's 1533-position model. The record is from RNAcentral.